GUUUCCUCCAUAUUAUUCUCAUGGUGUUGAACAAGUAUCAUAAGACUGGAUGGGUUUAUUAGGGGUUUCCACUUUUGUUUCUUCCUCAUUCUCUCAUUGCCUGCUGCCAUCCAUGUAAGAUGGGACUUGCUCUUUCUUGCCUUCCACAGUGAUUGUGACCUUCCCCAGCCACAUGAAACUAACAUUAGAACUCAUUGCAAGAGCAUGUCAAGACAGGACCAAAGUGGACUCACACCAUUGCCUUCGGUGAACCUUGAAAAACUUAUCAACACCAAGAACCUGGCCAAGUUAAUGCAAAAGUGUGAAAGAAUGUCUUUCUCUGCUCAACUGAGGAAGUGUUUGGGGAAAUGCCUUUGCUGUAGCUCAGCCUUUGGCAGUCAUCCCUUGUGGAAGAAUACUGAGACCCAAGAAAAGAGGCUGCAAAUGACAUUCC
Molecule: long non-coding RNA, 433 nt
Filed under: Homo sapiens (human)
Lineage: Eukaryota; Metazoa; Chordata; Mammalia; Primates; Hominidae
Description: HSALNT0250402
Source: RNAcentral